GCUUCAUUUGUGGCUCUCAUAGUAACGAGAGGAUCCCAUACAGAGCUGUAUGUUACUAUUUGGGUUCAAUGUGUCUCAGGUCAUGUUGUCUCUGAGGACGCUGCUAACGGAAGAAUGCUUUCUCAUGACCGACUUCAGCAGCAGGCACUUUGCAUAGAUUUAACUCUAGUGCAGAUUUGAAUUUAGUCACAGCAUUACUCUGGCCACCAUUGGAGUACAGGCACAUCUAAAAUGUUUUCUGAGAGUCUAUUAGAACCAGCCUUAAAAACAUGUAAUUGAAAGUGAAACUCAAGAGCCUCCUGGGCCAGAACUCACUCUAAGGAGAGAAGAGACCAGACAUAAAGACUUGAUCAUUGGAAGAUGGGCUUCUGAUAUUCUGGAGAAACCAGUGUUAUCUGAGUGUUAAAGCUCAGUUAUUAAUCCUUUCUCAGAGUUCCGGGAUAAUGUUAUUGGCUUUCAAGCAUGUGAUGCAUCCCAAGAGAGCUGUUGACUUCCAGUCUGACCAAAUUCUUUCACGUUGUGGCGUGUACGAUGUAUAAACGUUUUGGAAUGCCUCUGAGACGACUUCUGCCGGUCCAUAAAAGCCCUAGGCUCAGCCAGAGCAGGGCAGAGGAUGGCCAGAGGAUGAAGAGGGCAGAGAGAUGAUGAGACCCCAUGACCAGCUACAGACAGGAGUACCCUU
RNAcentral lists this long non-coding RNA (682 nucleotides) under Papio anubis (olive baboon). RNAcentral's name for it is "lncRNA (ENSPANG00000036832.2)". Lineage: Eukaryota; Metazoa; Chordata; Mammalia; Primates; Cercopithecidae. The record is from RNAcentral.